RNAcentral lists this unclassified non-coding RNA (337 nucleotides) under soil metagenome. RNAcentral's name for it is "partial contains 5.8S ribosomal RNA, internal transcribed spacer 2, and large subunit ribosomal RNA". The stretch from base 1 to 120 matches the Rfam family "5.8S ribosomal RNA", at positions 35 to 154 of the family's 154-position model. The record is from RNAcentral.
GAUGAAGAACGCAGCGAAAUGCGAUAAGUAGUGUGAAUUGCAGAAUUCAGUGAAUCAUCGAAUCUUUGAACGCACAUUGCGCCCCUUGGUAUUCCAUGGGGCAUGCCUGUUCGAGCGUCAUUUGUACCUUCAAGCUCUGCUUGGUGUUGGGUGUUUGUCUCGCCUUUGCGUGUAGACUCGCCUUAAAACCAUUGGCAGCCGGCGUAUUGAUUUCGGAGCGCAGUACAUCUCGCGCUUUGCACUCAUAACGACGACGUCCAAAAGUACAUUUUUACACUCUUGACCUCGGAUCAGGUAGGGAUACCCGCUGAACUUAAGCAUAUCAAUAAGCGGAGGA